This is a non-coding RNA of Hippoglossus stenolepis (Pacific halibut), 74 nucleotides long. The record is from the annotation of a RefSeq genome assembly. Lineage: Eukaryota; Metazoa; Chordata; Actinopteri; Pleuronectiformes; Pleuronectidae.
GCCUCUGUGGCGCAAUCGGUCAGCACUUUUGGUUGUUAACCGAAAGGAUGGUGGUUCGGUCCCACCCAGGGACG